AUCAUUAAAUAAAAGUAUUUAUUCUAAAAGAAAAAUUUAUAAAACUUCUUUUUAGAUUCAAUUUAAGAAUACAAUAAAUUAUAAAUUAAUAAAUACUGCACAAACUAACACUUUAAAACAUUUCAUUAUUUUCGUAAAACAAAAGUACUAGUACUUGGAAAAUCGUAGUAAAUCAAGUUUUGGACUUAGAGCUUUAAAAGUGGUACGAGUGCAUUCCUCAAUACCUGUAUUAUCGUCCUAUAGUCUUUUUGAAAACAACAAGUCCAAAUAACGACCGUCCGGCAGGCAGAAGUAUCGGUGCCUAGUGGCGAACACCAUGGCCAAUCGCAAACACGAUCACCCCACCACCCUAACUAACGGCUACUUCAUCGCUAUCCGAAUAGAAGGUAUACUGUAUAUUAUCAGCAGUAGUGUUAUAUCACUGUUCCUGAAGUGUACUAAACCGCCUUUCACGAUCUUCUCACGCUGAACUGAAAAAACAAACAAUGGUUAAAAAUCGUCGCAAUCUCAAAAAACCAAAGCAGUAUAAAUCUGCAGCCGAGACGUCCGAGAUGUAUAUCAAUACUAAUCUGACACAAACUAUAUUGCAGCUUUCGGAAAACAAUGACAAUAUGAUAGUCGCUCCCCAAUUAACAGUGGGAGCUUUGGAACGGAUGCACCUGUUUGAUUUGAUAUUUGUGGUCCUCAACGAUAUAAUGAAUGACCCCAGAUUAUAUGACCCCUAAUUAGGAGGCUACUACAAUAACAUGAACGGACAUGGGAAAUAAGAACAGUACGAACAAUCUUUUGAUUUGGUACCUAUUUAAUCUUAUUAACAUGUUUUAUUAAAAAAUAUAUUUUAUACAAUAAA
Long non-coding RNA from Aphis gossypii (cotton aphid), 850 nucleotides. RefSeq lists it as uncharacterized. NCBI's taxonomy places the organism in Eukaryota, Metazoa, Arthropoda, Insecta, Hemiptera, Aphididae. The record is from RefSeq and is a predicted model, not a curated record. The transcript is spliced from 4 exons.